This 479-nucleotide ribosomal RNA is filed under the name uncultured bacterium. RNAcentral's name for it is "bacterial SSU rRNA". It matches the Rfam family "Bacterial small subunit ribosomal RNA", at positions 28 to 507 of the family's 1533-position model. The record is from RNAcentral.
GAUGAACGCUAGCGGCAGGCCUAACACAUGCAAAGUCGAGGGGUAUAGGAAGCUUGCUUCCUAGAGACCGGCGCACGGGUGCGUAACGCGUAUGCAAUCUACCUUAUACAGGGGAAUAGCCCAGAGAAAUUUGGUUAAUGCCCAUGGUAUUAUUGAAUGGCAUCAUUUGAUAAUUAAAGUUCCAACGGUAUAAGAUGAGCAUGCGUCCCAUUAGUUAGUUGGUGUGGUAACGGCACACCAAGACGAUGAUGGGUAGGGGUCCUGAGAGGGAGAUCCCCCACACUGGUACUGAGACACGGACCAGACUCCUACGGGAGGCAGCAGUGAGGAAUAUUGGUCAAUGGACGCAAGUCUGAACCAGCCAUGCCGCGUGCAGGAAGAAGCAUCUAUGGUGUGUAAACUGCUUUUAUACAGGAAGAAACACUCCCUCGUGAGGGAGCUUGACGGUACUGUAAGAAUAAGGACCGGCUAACUCCGUG